Molecule: ribosomal RNA, 1433 nt
Filed under: Clostridium perfringens
Lineage: Bacteria; Bacillati; Bacillota; Clostridia; Eubacteriales; Clostridiaceae
Description: partial 23S ribosomal RNA
Rfam family: Bacterial large subunit ribosomal RNA
Source: RNAcentral
ACGUGAAACCUUGUGGGAAGCAGGGAGGACCACCUCCCAAGGCUAAAUACUACCUGAUGACCGAUAGUGAAGCAGUACCGUGAGGGAAAGGUGAAAAGAACCCCGGGAGGGGAGUGAAAUAGAACCUGAAACCGUGUGCCUACAACCGCUCAGAGCCCCUUAUGAGGGUGAUGAGGUGCUUUUUGUAGAACGAGCCAACGAGUUACGGUAUGUAGCAAGGUUAAGUACUUAAGGUACGGAGCCGAAGGGAAACCGAGUCUGAAUAGGGCGACUAGUUGCAUGCCGUAGACCCGAAACCGGGUGACCUAUCCAUGGCCAGGUUGAAGCGAGGGUAAAACCUCGUGGAGGACCGAACCACGUUGCUGUUGAAAAAGCAUGGGAUGAGCUGUGGAUAGCGGAGAAAUUCCAAUCGAACCCGGAGAUAGCUGGUUCUCUCCGAAAUAGCUUUAGGGCUAGCGUCGAGUAUGAGUAGUGGAGGUAGAGCACUGAAUGGGCUAGGGGGCAUAGCGCUUACCGAACCUUAUCAAACUCCGAAUGCCACAUACUUUGAGCUCGGCAGUCAGACUACGAAUGAUAAGAUCCGUGGUCAAAAGGGAAACAGCCCAGAUCGUCAGCUAAGGUCCCAAAGUGUAAGUUAAGUGGGAAAGGAUGUGAGAUUUCUAAGACAACUAGGAUGUUGGCUUAGAAGCAGCCAUUCAUUAAAAGAGUGCGUAAUAGCUCACUAGUCGAGAGAUCUUGCGCCGAAAAUGUAACGGGGCUAAACUUACCACCGAAGCUACGGGCUUGAACUUAGUUCAAGCGGUAGGAGAGCGUCGUAACCGGGCUGAAGUCGUACCGUAAGGAGCGGUGGACUGGUUACGAGUGAGAAUGUUGGCAUCAGUAGCGAGAUGUGGGUGAGAAUCCCACAGGCCGAAAACCUAAGGUUUCCUCAGGAAGGUUCGUCCGCUGAGGGUUAGUCGGGACCUAAGCCGAGGCCGAAAGGCGUAGGUGAUGGACAACUGGUUGAUAUUCCAGUACCACUACCAUCGUUAUUAUCGAUGGCGUGACGCAGGAGGAUAGUGUGUGCUAGCUAUUGGAUGCUAGUCUAAGCGUUUAGGCAGUGAGAGUAGGCAAAUCCGCUCUCAUAAUGCUGAGGCGUGAUGGGGAAGGUUCUACGGAACCGAAGUACAUGAUUCCACGCUGCCAAGAAAAGCGUCUAGAGAGAGAAGUAGUGCCCGUACCGCAAACCGACACAGGUAGGUGAGGAGAGAAUCCUAAGGCCGGCGGAAGAAUUACAGUUAAGGAACUCGGCAAAUUGACCCCGUAAGUUCGCGAGAAGGGGUGCCUACGAGAGUAGGCCGCAGAGAAUAGGCCCAAGCAACUGUUUAGCAAAAACACAGGUCUCUGCUAAAGCGUAAGCUGAUGUAUAGGGGCUGACGCCUGCCCGGUGCUGG